This 3111-nucleotide unclassified non-coding RNA is filed under the name Drosophila pseudoobscura pseudoobscura. Its description in RNAcentral is "GA29045". Lineage: Eukaryota; Metazoa; Arthropoda; Insecta; Diptera; Drosophilidae. The record is from RNAcentral.
CAAAGCUCCACUCCAGGACUCUGAGUAGCCAGACUGGACGUCACUGAAGGAGGCAGAUAGAAACCAAAUACAAUUGACAUUUAUUGGCCAAUAUAUAUUUAUAAGGCCCGAACGGAAGUGGCCGAAAACCCCGAAAGGAGCGAGAGAAUAGCCACACAGACUGGAGACUGGCUAUAAAAGAGAAGCAAAGAUACGAAAAAUAUAUAUUUCAAUGCUGUCGAAGCUGCAUAAAAACUGUCCAGCGACAGGCCAAGGGGCAGCUCCUCCUCCACGCCACAUGCAAAUGUCCGCAAGGAGAGCAGCAGCGAGUGGGAAGCGGACGGCCACGAUGCCACAAACUGGGCGGGGCUGCAUCUGCUGGCUGGCCGUGAUCGGACUUCUCGUGCUGGUUCCUGAUUUUAUUGCGGCACUCAAGGAUGUCUCCGUAAUGAUACCACAGGCAGUGAAACGUGGCAGUAAUGCCUUGUUCACGUGUAAUUACGAUAUGGAAAACGAUACUCUAUAUUCGGUGAAAUGGUAUAAGGGUAAGCGUGAGUUUUAUCGCUACACGCCCAAGGAGAAUCCGGCCAUGAAGGUCUUCGCCAUGACAAGUGGUCUCAAUGUUGAGCGCAACCUUUCGAAUCAAAGUCAUGUCGUGCUGCAGUCGGUGCCGUUGAAUAUUUCGGGCAAAUUUACAUGCGAAAUAUCCGUUGAGGCGCCCACAUUCCAAACCGCCAUGGUGUCCGGCGAAAUGGAGGUGGUUGAGCUACCGGAAGAGCACACCGUGGUCACCGGGAUACAGGCGCGCUAUCGCAUUGGCGAUUUGGUCGAUGGCAAUUGCUCAAUUAAAUACUCGAAACCGGCUGCUAAUUUGACAUGGACUAUUAAUGGUAUUGUGGUGCCACCGCAUCACAUCAAGACGUAUCAGAUUGAGAAACAGGAGAAUACCACACUGGAAUCGGUUACAAGUGCCAUACAUUUCAUGGUCACCACUCAGCAUUUUCUCAAGGGCCAGAUGAGGCUCAAGUGCACGGCCAAUAUCUUUGACAUCUUCAAGGAGGAAAUGGAGAGUGUUAUUGAGGAGGACAGACCCAGGAUAAUGGCCUCCGGCAGGUCGUACGAUAUCAACAACUAUCCGCUCGAUGAGCAUACGAAUGGCGAGAGAGGCUUCGAGGAUCACAAUGAAUCAUAUUUGACAUACUAUUCGGCGGAUAAUAGUGCAUCAGGCGCUUCGACAGCUGCACAUGAAAUCUUUUGGCACGUCUGGCCAUCGAAGCUCGGGGCAGCACUUCGGAUCAGACUCCACAUCAACAGGCAGCUGGUGGGGGCGUGGCCGUGGGACGCACUCGGUGCCUGGAUUACGCAAGCAGCGGAUCCAGGAGCAGCUACAGCUCUUUUGUGUCUGCUAGGGCUGCUGGCCCAUCAAAUUAUCAACUGUCAAUACACAAAGAAAUCGACAGCGACAGCAACAGGGACAGCGACAGGAACAUCGAUGGGGCAGCAGCAGCAGCAGCAACCGUUGCCAGUCGAAGCGGAGGCUGUGACAAUGUCAAAGGCGGCCAAAUCCGCAGCUAGAGCGAGCGUCAAAUGCUUUUAUAAUUGUCAAAUGGCAAUGGCAAUGGCAACAUACAAUCCCCAUCCCCACAUGAAAAUCCAGGAGGAGAAGGAUGAUGUGAAUGGAACUGGGACUGAGACUGAGACUGAGACUGGGACCGUGGAGGGAGACGAUGAUGAUGCGAAUGUUGCAAGUGUGGCAAAUGCCGGCGAUGAUUUAACUGCAACUGCAGCGGGAAUGGCAAAGGCUAAGGGCAAAGAAAGGGGAGCUGCAACAGUGCCAUCUGGAGUUGCCGUUAAGCGACUGUCAGCGACACUUGUGGGCGUGGCACGGCCCUGGCUGGAUCAACGAUUAUUGAUGACUCGACGACGGAAGAUGUGGAAGCCUGUUCUGGGGGACUCCGACUGCCUCUCGUGCUGAUGCCGAAUUGAUGAUGAAAUCCAUUUCCAAAAGUAGCUUAAGGUGUUUGCCCACUUGUGCUACAGUGAAGCCUCUCUCUCCUCUUCUCCCUGUCUUCCUAUCCCCACCCUACCAUCAUUUUCAUGCCCGGCAAAGUGAAAAGUUGGAGGAAAUAAUUAAUAUAUAUGAAUAUUAAUUGGAAUCGCCAGCUGGAUGGCUGGAUGCCUGGGACGCUGUAGUUCGUAAGUGUUAUGCAUAAGGUCAGGGCCGAAGAAGGAGCGAGAAUAAUUAAAUAUAGCCAGAAAGGGAAGACCUUCGAGGAAUCAUUGAAUAAUAACAGGAAAUAUAGUCUUGUACGAAUAUGUAUUAUUGUAAGAUGAUGAAAAGGUAUAUGAAAUAUGCAUAUAACUAGAUGAUAAAAUCGGUAAAAUAGUGUAAACAUCGACCCUGGCACAACCCUACGGUUUGAGAGAAAUGCGUGUGUGAAUUAGUAUUUUGUUGUUGCUGAAAUUCAAUUCAGAAAAAAUACACAAUGGUAACAGUCCCUUCAAUCAUUGAUGGUAUGUUACUCUUCGUGAAAGGCUGUUGGCAACUUUAAUAUGAUUUGUUUGGAAGUAAUAUGUGGGAUUGUUUAGGAAUGAUGACACCCUUUCAUGGAUUUGUAUUCUGCAAAUUGCAGUGAUUCAAAUGUACAUAUUCUACUCCGUUUGAGAUUCAGUGUAUUCAGAAUUCAGCUGCAUUCUUAUAAGCAAAUACAGCUUGCAGCAAAGCUUUUAAAGCUUGAGUUCUAAAGGGAGACAGAGCAAGAAUAGUCAAACCAACAACAACAACAACCAAAACAAACAAACCUUGCUAAUCGAAGCAACAUCAACAACAUUUACAGUUCUUUGUGGUUUUGUGUGACGAUCUUAAGUCACAUAUUAAGCUUGCAUAUUCAAAGAACAACAACGCUACAGUCGAAUCUCGCUAACUUGAUCUUGGCUAAUGCAAUUUGGUGGUUCCACGUAGCCAAGUUUGACUGUAAAAAGAAGAAUAGCAAUACGAAGAAGAGUGAAAACGAAACCUAUACGAUGUACAGCAAGUUGAAUUUUGGACUGCACUUCGUAAGCUUCUUAGGCCAAUUAGACAAUGCUGUUGAAGACUGUGUGACACUUCAGACUCCAGCUACUGACUGGCUA